This 261-nucleotide unclassified non-coding RNA is filed under the name plant metagenome. RNAcentral's name for it is "partial contains small subunit ribosomal RNA, internal transcribed spacer 1, and 5.8S ribosomal RNA". The record is from RNAcentral.
UUUCCGUAGGUGAACCUGCGGAAGGAUCAUUAUUGUAUAACCGAGGUGCGAGGGCUGUCGCUGACCCGAAAGGUCGUGCACGCCCGAGUGCCCUCACACAUCCAUCUCACCCCUAUGUGCACCACCGCGUGGGUCCCCCUUUGGCUUGUUCGGAGGGGGGCUUACGUUUUCACACAAACUUUGUAUGCAGAGUAGAAUGUAUUUUUUGUUUUUGCGAUCACGCAAUCAAUACAACUUUCAACAACGGAUCUCUUGGCUCUC